This 366-nucleotide long non-coding RNA is filed under the name Callithrix jacchus (white-tufted-ear marmoset). RNAcentral's name for it is "lncRNA (ENSCJAG00000073647.1)". Lineage: Eukaryota; Metazoa; Chordata; Mammalia; Primates; Cebidae. The record is from RNAcentral.
CUCAGUACUUUUAAGACAAUUUAUACUGAGUGUGCGUGUACAACUACAGCACCUCUGUCCUUCGGAAACUUACCUGUAGCUACUUUAGGCGGAUUGCUCUGAAUUGUUUUGUCUGUGCCCAGAGCCAAAUUAUCUGACUGUGGUUGAACCAGACACCAGUCUUGAAGAUGUGAAGAUAGAGCCAAAGUAUUAUCUGAAAGUGAAAUGAUUGGAGGAGUCUUGCCAGCAACCAUGGAAAGCUGAAAAUGCCUUUUGAGCAACCUGGAGCCCCAGAUUUUGAGGGUUGUAAUCUUGAAAUAGGCUCAGAUUCUCGGCCAGGAGAAAGAUAGAUUGGAUAUACCAACAGCACAAGGUUCCGGACCAUAG